This 301-nucleotide ribosomal RNA is filed under the name uncultured bacterium. RNAcentral describes it as "partial 16S ribosomal RNA". It matches the Rfam family "Bacterial small subunit ribosomal RNA", at positions 509 to 807 of the family's 1533-position model. The record is from RNAcentral.
CAGUCGCCACGGUAAUACAGAGGAUGCAAGCGUUAUCCGGAAUGAUUGGGCGUAAAGCGUGCGCAGGCGGUUUGUUAAGACAGAUGUGAAAUCCCCGGGCUCAACCUGGGAACUGCAUUUGUGACUGGCAAGCUAGAGUAUGGCAGAGGGGGGUGGAAUUCCGCGUGUAGCAGUGAAAUGCGUAGAUAUGCGGAGGAACACCGAUGGCGAAGGCAGCCCCCUGGUCCUUUACUGACGCUGAGGAGCGAAAGCGUGGGGAGCGAACAGGAUUAGAUACCCGCGUAGUCCCUGUCUCUUAUAC